This 29-nucleotide non-coding RNA is filed under the name Rattus norvegicus (Norway rat). Lineage: Eukaryota; Metazoa; Chordata; Mammalia; Rodentia; Muridae. The record is from RNAcentral.
UAUCUGGUUUCGUGAUGACUCAAGGAUUC